This 985-nucleotide ribosomal RNA is filed under the name Bacillus subtilis. Its description in RNAcentral is "bacterial SSU rRNA". It matches the Rfam family "Bacterial small subunit ribosomal RNA", at positions 56 to 1026 of the family's 1533-position model. Lineage: Bacteria; Bacillati; Bacillota; Bacilli; Caryophanales; Bacillaceae. The record is from RNAcentral.
UCCAAAGUCGAGCGGACAGAUGGGAGCUUGCUCCCUGAUGUUAGCGGCGGACGGGUGAGUAACACGUGGGUAACCUGCCUGUAAGACUGGGAUAACUCCGGGAAACCGGGGCUAAUACCGGAUGCUUGUUUGAACCGCAUGGUUCAAACAUAAAAGGUGGCUUCGGCUACCACUUACAGAUGGACCCGCGGCGCACUAGCUAGUUGGUGAGGUAAUGGCUCACCAAGGCGACGAUGCGUAGCCGACCUGAGAGGGUGAUCGGCCACACUGGGACUGAGACACGGCCCAGACUCCUACGGGAGGCAGCAGUAGGGAAUCUUCCGCAAUGGACGAAAGUCUGACGGAGCAACGCCCGUGAGUGAUGAAGGUUUUCGGAUCGUAAAGCUCUGUUGUUAGGGAAGAACAAGUGCCGUUCUAAUAGGGCGGUACCUUGACGGUACCUAACCAGAAAGCCACGGCUAACUACGUGCCAGCAGCCGCGGUAAUACGUAGGUGGCAAGCGUUGUCCGGAAUUAUGGGGCGUAAAGGGCUCGCAGGCGGUUUCUUAAGUCUGAUGUGAAAGCCCCCGGCUCACCCGGGGAGGGUCAUUGGAAACUGGGGAACUUGAGUGCAAAAGAGAAGAGUGGAAUUCCACGUGUAGCGUUGAAAUGCGUAGAGAUGUGNAGAAACACCAGUGGCGAAGGCGACUCUCUGGUCUGUAACUGACACUAGAAGCGAAAGCGUGGGGAGCGAACAGGAUAAGAUACCCUGUUAUCCACGCCGUAAACAAUAAGUGCUAAGUGUGAGAGGGGUUUCCGCCCCUUAUUGCUGCACUAACCAUAAAGCACUCCGCCUGGGGAGUACGGUCGCACGACUGAAACUCAAAGGGAGUAGAGGGGGCGCGCACAAGCGCUGGAGCAUGUGGUUUAAUUCGAAGCAACGCGAAGAACCUUACCAGGUCUUGACAUCCUCUGACAAUCCUAGAGAUAGGACGUCCCCUUCGGAA